CCUACGGGGGGCUGCAGUGGGGGAUAUUGCACAAUGGGGGAAACCCUGAUGCAGCGACGCCGCGUGUGGGAAGACGGUCCUCUGGAUUGUAAACCACUGUCCCCAGGGACGAAGAUGACGGUACCUGGGGAGGAAGCUCCGGCUAACUACGUGCCAGCAGCCGCGGUAAUACGUAGGGAGCGAGCGUUGUCCGGAAUUACAGGGUGUAACGGGAGCGUAGGCGGGACUGCAAGUUGGGUGUCAAAUCUACCGGCUCAACCGGUAGCCGCACUCAAAACUGCAGUUCUUGAGUGAAGUAGAGGCAGGCGGAAUGCCUAGUGUAGCGGUGAAAUGCGUAGAUAUUAGGAGGAACACCAGUGGCGAAGGCGGCCUGCUGGGCUUUUACUGACGCUGAGGCUCGAAAGUGUGGGGAGCAAACAGGAUUAGAUACCCGAGUAGUC
Molecule: ribosomal RNA, 440 nt
Filed under: uncultured bacterium
Lineage: Bacteria
Description: partial 16S ribosomal RNA
Rfam family: Bacterial small subunit ribosomal RNA
Source: RNAcentral